GGAGUUAUAGUCAACCAUGACAUUUGAUUUGCACUCAAAAAGUGCUCUAACUCUUAGAGCUAACUUCA
Molecule: transfer RNA, 68 nt
Filed under: Metapenaeus joyneri
Lineage: Eukaryota; Metazoa; Arthropoda; Malacostraca; Decapoda; Penaeidae
Description: tRNA-Ala
Source: RNAcentral